Non-coding RNA from Schistosoma haematobium, 45 nucleotides. The record is from Rfam. Lineage: Eukaryota; Metazoa; Platyhelminthes; Trematoda; Strigeidida; Schistosomatidae.
AUCCAGCUGUCGAGUCUCAAAUAGGACAAGACGCACGUUCUGGAU